Non-coding RNA from Camellia sinensis, 520 nucleotides. The record is from RefSeq and is a predicted model, not a curated record. NCBI's taxonomy places the organism in Eukaryota, Viridiplantae, Streptophyta, Magnoliopsida, Ericales, Theaceae.
CAAUGUCUUGUUCUUGCUUGGGGUUUGUAUGAUUAGAAACCUAAUCUCGAGAACUCAAAGCUUGUUAGGGUUUUCGCUAAUUUCUCUUAGAAAUGCAGGGAUCUGAUAUCUAAACUUGUAUUUCGUGCUCCAUUUGCGUCGAAUCGAUCUCGGUGCUCCCAUGAUUCAAGAAAAAGAGGCCUCUUAGAACUAACAGAUCGAUGUGGUACUUUAACUGGUUUUAGUAAUGAGGUACUUAUUUGGGUUGCAAUUCCAAGUUGUUUCCUUAUUCAUUGUGUGGAAAACAUUGAAUGUGCUGGAUGAUUUCUAGUCUCUCUGAUUCAUUCUCUUCUCUAUUCUUUAUGAUUUCAAUGCAAUAUACAGUGCAGACAUAUUCACAACUAUAUAUUAAUGGGUUUUGAGGUUUUCUCAUCUAAUCAUCUGAUGGAGGGUUUGAUUGAUUCAUAUUCUCGUGGGAAUUUCAUAAUUUUUAUUGGGUUUUGGGAUUUGAGUUCCUUCCCCUUUUACUUUCCCUCCAUCC